CAGUAGCCGCGGGAAUACGAAGGGUGCAAGCGUUAAUCGGAAUUACUGGGCGUAAAGGGUGCGUAGGCGGUUGUUUAAGUCUGUUGUGAAAUCCCCGGGCUCAACCUGGGACCUGCAUUUGUGACUGUAUAGCUAGAGUACGGUAGAGGGGGAUGGAAUUCCGCGUGUAGCAGUGAAAUGCGUAGAUACGCGGAGGAACACCGAUGGCGAAGGCAAUCCCCUGGACCUGUACUGACGCUCAUGCACGAAAGCGUGGGGAGCAAACAGGAUUAGAUACCCGUGUAGUCCCUGUCUCUUAUAA
Molecule: ribosomal RNA, 301 nt
Filed under: uncultured bacterium
Lineage: Bacteria
Description: partial 16S ribosomal RNA
Rfam family: Bacterial small subunit ribosomal RNA
Source: RNAcentral